GGGUUGUGAGGUUAAGCGACUAAGCGUACACGGUGGAUGCCCUGGCAGUCAGAGGCGAUGAAGGACGUGCUAAUCUGCGAUAAGCGUCGGUAAGGUGAUAUGAACCGUUAUAACCGGCGAUUUCCGAAUGGGGAAACCCAGUGUGAUUCGUCACACUAUCAUUAACUGAAUCCAUAGGUUAAUGAGGCGAACCGGGGGAACUGAAACAUCUAAGUACCCCGAGGAAAAGAAAUCAACCGAGAUUCCCCCAGUAGCGGCGAGCGAACGGGGAGGAGCCCAGAGCCUGAAUCAGUGUGUGUGUUAGUGGAAGCGUCUGGAAAG
RNAcentral lists this ribosomal RNA (321 nucleotides) under Escherichia coli. Its description in RNAcentral is "partial 23S ribosomal RNA". It matches the Rfam family "Bacterial large subunit ribosomal RNA", at positions 1 to 349 of the family's 2925-position model. The record is from RNAcentral. Lineage: Bacteria; Pseudomonadati; Pseudomonadota; Gammaproteobacteria; Enterobacterales; Enterobacteriaceae.